Crepidotus variabilis is the source of this 98-nucleotide non-coding RNA. Lineage: Eukaryota; Fungi; Basidiomycota; Agaricomycetes; Agaricales; Crepidotaceae. The record is from the annotation of a GenBank genome assembly.
GGGCAUAUGGUGUAGUUGGUUAUCAUGCUCGCUUUGCAAUCGCCUUUCGAAGGUGAUGAACAUGCGAGAGGUGUUGGGUUCAAUUCCCAAUGUGUCCA